UACAGAGGUCCCAAGCGUUGUUCGGAUUCACUGGGCGUAAAGGGUGCGUAGGCGGUCGGGUAAGUCUGAUGUGAAAUCUCACAGCUUAACUGUGAAACUGCAUUGGAUACUAUCCGGCUCGAGGAAUGGAGGGGAGACUGGAAUACUUGGUGUAGCAGUGAAAUGCGUAGAUAUCAAGUGGAACACCGGUGGCGAAGGCGAGUCCCUGGAAAACACCUGACACUGAGGCACGAAAGCUAGGGGAGCAAACAGG
This 253-nucleotide ribosomal RNA is filed under the name uncultured bacterium. RNAcentral describes it as "partial 16S ribosomal RNA". It matches the Rfam family "Bacterial small subunit ribosomal RNA", at positions 524 to 776 of the family's 1533-position model. The record is from RNAcentral.